AAAUGAAUAGACGGGGGCCCGCACAAGCGGUGGAGCAUGUGGUUCAAUUCGACGCAACGCGAAGAACCUUACCUGGGCUCGAACGGCUUAUGCCCGGGGUAGAAAUACCCCUUUCCCGCAAGGGACGUGAGUCGAGGUGCUGCAUGGCUGUCGUCAGCUCGUGUCGUGAGAUGUUGGGUUAAGUCCCGCAACGAGCGCAACCCUUGCCCUGUGUUGCCAUGCCGAAAGGCGGAACUCGCAGGGGACCGCGAGCGAUAAGCUUGAGGAAGAUGGGGAUGACGUCAAGUCAUCAUGGCCUUUAUGUCCAGGGCUACACACGUGCUACAAUGGACGGUACAGACCGCUGCAAACCCGCGAGGGGGAGCUAAUCGGAAAAAACCGUUCUCAGUUCGGAUCGCAGGCUGCAACUCGCCUGCGUGAAGCUGGAAUCGCUAGUAAUGGCGCAUCAGCAUGGCGCCGUGAAUACGUUCCCGGGCCUUGUACACACCGCCCGU
Molecule: ribosomal RNA, 494 nt
Filed under: uncultured bacterium
Lineage: Bacteria
Description: bacterial SSU rRNA
Rfam family: Bacterial small subunit ribosomal RNA
Source: RNAcentral